Phyllostomus hastatus (greater spear-nosed bat) is the source of this 295-nucleotide long non-coding RNA. RefSeq lists it as uncharacterized. The transcript has 3 exons. Lineage: Eukaryota; Metazoa; Chordata; Mammalia; Chiroptera; Phyllostomidae. The record is from RefSeq and is a predicted model, not a curated record.
CACGAGCACGAGCCACACAUGCCUAUGGAGCACCUGAAAUGUGCCAGUCCGAGAUGGGGUCUGCUCUCCUUGUACAAUGCACAGCAGAUUUCAAGGGCUCAGUACAAAGCAAAGGGGCGCUGCUCUCACAGAACACCUCUGUCACAGGACUGUCACAGGACUUCGCACCUGACUGCUCUGAAAAAAAAAACAGCUACUCGUACCAGAGACUUCAGUCUCGGCGUUUGAAGGAAGCAUGGCCAGAUUCCCAGAGAUGAUUCACAGCAACGGAAGGAAUGACCUGGUGCAACAGUGG